CCCGAAAGCUGCGGCGGCCGGCGCGGUGGCGUGAGGGGGCCCGGCCGCACCGCGGCCUAGUCCCGGAACCCGGCGGCAAGAGGAAUGGCUGCCGUGGGGCAGCUCCUUCGUCUUUACCGUAGCUACUUCUCCUAGCGGCCCCCGGCCUGGGCCCUGCAGGCAGGAGAAGGGGGAGCCGAGGGCCUCGGACCAGCUCUGGUUGCAGCAGUCUCCAGGCAGCUGUAAUAGGCUGCACCUCAAAGGGCGUGAGAGGACAUUUCAGUGCACUGUGGGGAGAGACUGCAAGGUCAUCAAAUUUUGCACAAACGGGAAGUACCCUCCUGUGCUACCAGUUGAGGAUUAUGGAGGAUGCGUCAGUGCGUGCUGACUGCACUAUGUGCUGCCCAGAGAACAGUUGUAGACAGGGUACAGAAACUGUGCCUGUUUGGAGAAAAUUACAUCUACAUCAAACCUUCCACCAAUAUCUAUAGCUAUAGUGCUCCUUUUUUUGCACCAGAAGUUGGCAGUCAGCCUGAAGUUACCCCAACUGAAGAAAGAACUGAUGAAAGAAUGGUUCAGAAUCAAAAUAAUUCUUUUAAGAAAGCAGAUAUCAGAUCUCAAAACAGUAAAGGUAACAUUUCAAGGAAGGGAUGGAGGGUUAUAUCUUUGGGGGGGGGGGGGGUAAGUAUUUCAGCCUAACAGGAGAAAUACAUCACAAGGAAAUCACUGCUAUUUCUCCUCUUCCUGUCACUGCAUUAUCUGGAACAUUUGGCUAUUUAUUGCUCUCAGGUGCCUCCUGUGACAUUACAGUAGCAUCAGAAGUACAUACACAGUGUGCUGUUCUGUAAGUUCCUUUACUUCAUAAAUAAAAGAAAGGUCCAUCCUGGCCAGAGCAUUUA
Molecule: long non-coding RNA, 878 nt
Organism: Dromaius novaehollandiae (emu)
Lineage: Eukaryota; Metazoa; Chordata; Aves; Casuariiformes; Dromaiidae
Exons: 3
Source: RefSeq, a predicted model, not a curated record